This 74-nucleotide transfer RNA is filed under the name Paenibacillus sp. BC26. RNAcentral's name for it is "tRNA_Glu_TTC". It matches the Rfam family "tRNA". From Rfam's summary of the family: Transfer RNA (tRNA) molecules are approximately 80 nucleotides in length. Their secondary structure includes four short double-helical elements and three loops (D, anti-codon, and T loops). The record is from RNAcentral. Lineage: Bacteria; Bacillati; Bacillota; Bacilli; Caryophanales; Paenibacillaceae.
GGCGUGGUGGUGAAAUGGAAAAACACACGGGCCUUUCACGUCCGGAUAUGCGGGUUCGAGUCCCGUCCACGCCA